Molecule: ribosomal RNA, 492 nt
Filed under: uncultured bacterium
Lineage: Bacteria
Description: partial 16S ribosomal RNA
Rfam family: Bacterial small subunit ribosomal RNA
Source: RNAcentral
AGUGAACGCUGGCGGUAGGCCUAACACAUGCAAGUCGAACGGCAGCACAGUAAGAGCUUGCUCUUACGGGUGGCGAGUGGCGGACGGGUGAGGAAUACAUCGGAAUCUACUUUUUCGUGGGGGAUAACGUAGGGAAACUUACGCUAAUACCGCAUACGACCUACGGGUGAAAGCAGGGGAUCUUCGGACCUUGCGCGAUUGAAUGAGCCGAUGUCGGAUUAGCUAGUUGGCGGGGUAAAGGCCCACCAAGGCGACGAUCCGUAGCUGGUCUGAGAGGAUGAACAGCCCAACUGGAAACGGGACACGGUCCCAACUCCCAAGGGAGGCAGCAGUUGGGAAUAUUGGACAAUGGGCGGAAGCCUGAUCCAGGCAAACCGGGUGGGUGAAGAAGGCCUUCGGGGUGGAAAGCCCUUUUUGUGGGAAAGAAAAGCCGCCGGUUAAUACCCCGCUGUUCUGACGGUACCCAAAGAAUAAGCACCGGCUAACUUCGUG